Molecule: ribosomal RNA, 443 nt
Filed under: uncultured bacterium
Lineage: Bacteria
Description: partial 16S ribosomal RNA
Rfam family: Bacterial small subunit ribosomal RNA
Source: RNAcentral
CCUACGGGACGCAGCAGUGGGGAAUAUUGGGCAAUGGGCGCAAGCCUGACCCAGCAACGCCGCGUGAAGGAAGAAGGCUUUCGGGUUGUAAACUUCUUUUCUGAGGGACGAAGAAAGUGACGGUACCUCAGGAAUAAGCCACGGCUAACUACGUGCCAGCAGCCGCGGUAAUACGUAGGUGGCAAGCGUUAUCCGGAUUUAUUGGGUGUAAAGGGCGUGUAGGCGGGAAAGCAAGUCAGAUGUGAAAACUCAGGGCUCAACCCUGAGCCUGCAUUUGAAACUGUUUUUCUUGAGUGCUGGAGAGGCAAUCGGAAUUCCUGGUGUAGCGGUGAAAUGCGUAGAUAUCAGGAGGAACACCGGUGGCGAAGGCGGCCUGCUGGACAGUAACUGACGUUGAGGCUCGAAAGCGUGGGGAGCAAACAGGAUUAGAUACCCGGGUAGUC